GAUGAAGAACGCAGCGAAAUGCGAUAAGUAAUGUGAAUUGCAGAAUUCAGUGAAUCAUCGAAUCUUUGAACGCACAUUGCGCCCCUUGGUAUUCCGAGGGGCAUGCCUGUUCGAGCGUCAUUAUAACCCCUCAAGCUCAGCUUGGUGUUGGGGCCUGCUGCACUGGCAGCCCUUAAAAUCAGUGGCGGCGCCAUCUGGCUCUAAGCGUAGUAAUUCUUCUCGCUAUGGAGUCCUGGUGGAUGCUUGCCAUCAACCCCCGAUUUUUCUAUGGUUGACCUCGGAUCAGGUAGGGAUACCCGCUGAACUUAAGCAUAUCAAUAAGCGGAGGA
RNAcentral lists this unclassified non-coding RNA (329 nucleotides) under soil metagenome. Its description in RNAcentral is "partial contains 5.8S ribosomal RNA, internal transcribed spacer 2, and large subunit ribosomal RNA". The stretch from base 1 to 120 matches the Rfam family "5.8S ribosomal RNA", at positions 35 to 154 of the family's 154-position model. The record is from RNAcentral.